RNAcentral lists this ribosomal RNA (394 nucleotides) under uncultured bacterium. RNAcentral describes it as "partial 16S ribosomal RNA". It matches the Rfam family "Bacterial small subunit ribosomal RNA", at positions 338 to 729 of the family's 1533-position model. The record is from RNAcentral.
CCUACGGGAGGCAGCAGUGAGGAAUAUUGGUCAAUGGGCGUAAGCCUGAACCAGCCAAGUCGCGUGAGGGAUGAAGGCCCUAUGGAUCGUAAACCGCUUUUAUAAGGGAAUAAAGUGCGGGACGUGUCCCGUUUUGUAUGUACCUUAUGAAUAAGGAUCGGCUAACUCCGUGCCAGCAGCCGCGGUAAUACGGAGGAUCCGAGCGUUAUCCGGAUUUAUUGGGUUUAAAGGGUGCGUAGGCGGCCUUUUAAGUCAGCGGUGAAAGGCUGGGGCUCAACCAGAGAAUUGCCGUUGAAACUGGGAGGCUUGAGUCUGGUGGAGGCAGGCGGAAUUCGUGGUGUAGCGGUGAAAUGCUUAGAUAUCACGAAGAACCCCGAUUGCGAAGGCAGCCUGC